Molecule: long non-coding RNA, 494 nt
Organism: Fukomys damarensis (Damara mole-rat)
Lineage: Eukaryota; Metazoa; Chordata; Mammalia; Rodentia; Bathyergidae
Exons: 4
Source: RefSeq, a predicted model, not a curated record
GCCCAAGGCAUUCUUUUGACCAACAGGCCUUGGAGGUAACCAAUUCUGAAAAAUGGAGGCUCCAUCUCCAGGUAGCCACUCCACGGUCUUCUUCUGCGUGGACUCAGAAGCAUCCUACAUCUUACUAACUGUUAGAUCGUGCACUUCGAUUCUAAAUUCAGUACUUCAACUGUUCACCACAACAUGCAGAACAAAGACGGCACUCCAGCUUAGCACACGAGGCCCCUCCUCAUCUGCCACCUCCUUGCCUCUCCAGUUCAUUCCCUUCUGGUUCUGACAGCCCGGCCUAGGUUCCAGCACCACACCUAAUGCUGCCAGCCCUGUGAGAGUCAUUACAGGCUCACCUCCUGGAAGCUAUCCCUACUCCCAAGAACAUGGUUUGAGAACAAGACAGUAAUCCUGCUGAAGAAUCACAGCGUUCCAUGCCUGUGCCCCAGACUCGGAGCCAAGGACUUUGGGUGUUUGGGUGUCUGUCAACCAUCUGACCUCUAUGC